Cyprinodon tularosa is the source of this 1985-nucleotide long non-coding RNA. RefSeq lists it as uncharacterized. The record is from RefSeq and is a predicted model, not a curated record. Lineage: Eukaryota; Metazoa; Chordata; Actinopteri; Cyprinodontiformes; Cyprinodontidae. The transcript is spliced from 2 exons.
AACAAAUUGGUGUUUCCGCCCGUGACCUGGAAGCAGGACAACAGAGCCACCGACGGAAAAAGCUCCACAGCCUGCGGCCGAAACAACUGAUAAGGAUGGAUUAACCUACAAGGGGCACAGAGACAAACUUUGCUCCUAAACUACAGAAGGAGGGAUGGUUUGCAGCUGCUGAGAUGCGAACAUUAAGGAAAUGACUGGAUGCCCACUGCUUCAGAUGAGAAAAGAACACUGGCAGUGAUGGGUUGAUGGAAGGUCAUGGGAUCAUCGGACAAGACGGAUGAAAAAAAAAAAAAAAAAAAAAGUUAAGUGAACUGACACACCAGAUUUCUUAUUCACAAUGAAAAACUAUGCUAAAUUUUCUUUAUAUCAUCAGGGGGUGGGGCAUUCUUACAUAGAGGAAUAAAAAAGAGGAUUUAGAGAUGUUUUACUAUGUGAUAAAUUAGACUGGGUUUUUGAUAAAUAGUUUGGUCAGUUAUUAAUUAGCAUAAUAUUAUUAAAGGGACAACAAGUUGAAACUUUAACUUUUGGGAAUGGUAAAGUUGCAUCAACAGAAUGCAAUUUAGGGGAAAUUAUAACAUUUUAGGAGCAAAUGUUUAAAGCAAAUGAUGGUUUCUUUUCAAAAUAAGCAAUAACGAUGAAGACUUAAUGAGUUAAUGAGCUUAUGGGGAUUCAAUAUCAGGCCCAGGGACUAAAACUUCACCAUUUAUUUUAUCUUUUUAUUUUAUUUUUAUUUGGUUUGAUAAAUUUUAAUUGUUUUUUGCUUGUUUUGUUUUUUUUACUGCGAGCAGAGUUAUAAAUAGCAUUUGAGGGGCUAUAUACAAGUUGGGGGAUGGGUAACCAUAUUUUUAAUGCAUGAAGCAAUAAGAACACCUGACUUUACUUCACUAGAGCUGCAAUUAAUACUUUAGAGGAGAUGCACACUUUAGUGUUUAGUUUAUUUGAGAUAACACAUAUAAGAAGAGAUUAUGUUUCCUGCACAUUUUUUGGAUCUGGUCAGGGGUCCAGAUAUGACAACUAUUUACUGGUUCUGGGGAUGUUGGAACAGAUUUUUUUUCGUUUGUUUUUAUUUUGUUCUUUGUUUUUGUUUUGUUUGUUUUUUCUCAUCGGAGCACUGCUUUUUGGAGAAUAUUUUAAAUGGACUAUAGCUGGACACUUUGCAUAGAGGGGGUGCAGUCGAAUUCAACACCUUCAGGAACUGUGUACUGCUGAGUUUUGGGAAUGCAGCAGCAAGUCAGAGUACAAUCCUGUGCUCUGAGCAGAUGAACAAUUCAAUAUGACAUUUCCUCUUGAAGGGAGGAACACCUUUAACGCUCUGUUUCCUUCUACCUCUAUGUGAUACUGCUGAUGACACAGGUAAAGACUUAUCCUUCAGGGGGUGUGGGGACACAUGGCCCCAAGACUCUUAUGGUUCAAAGCUGCUGUGGUAACAGAGGGAAACCUGAUGGACUUGUCCGAACAUCGAACUUUUUGCAUGUUGGAGAGGGUCACUGCUCCAAGAAACACUUUUUCUUCCAAACCAGUAGCGGGAUGGCUCCUGACCAGUUUCCCACGUAUAGAUCCACUCACAUAGACACACACACAUACUGUCACAUAACAACACGCCCACACACGGUUAACGACUGGAAGAACACACAAGGGUCCACAUGGGAAUGAGGUUUUCUUUCAUGCACUAACAUUCACGGAUACAAGGUCUGGUGGGGGAGUUUUUAAUAGGGGGAAUCUGCGCCAAGCUGGGUUUUUUCCUUAGAGAUUAAAGAACUUCUAAUAAUUUUCUGGGGAGGGUGUAGCAGUAAACUAAAAUGCAGUUACAAGUUUAGACGAGACUAAAACUUAAUAUGCUAUGAUGUAGAAAUGGUUUUAAAAUUCAUUCAUUUAAUCCAUGAAUUGAGUGUUACAAUGUGUAAAAAAGGGUUAAAUGUUUUCUAAAUAUUUACAGGUUCCUUGAAUUAGAUUAUAUUAGUUGCAGUGAUUUUGGGCUUAUAUGA